AUCCUCUGUGGUGGAGAUGAGAACGCGAUUGAAGAGUCUUUCCACCGCCUGAACUGUGUUUGUCGCGAUGGUGGUGGUCUGGUUACGGUCUGGAACUGAGUCUGCCAAAGUCUGGCAGAUAAGACCGAGAGCCAGGGACCAGGCAGUAAUGCCGAUAAGAAGCCUCGAACUGCGCUCUGAACUCGCCAUGCUUCCGUGAUCGCUGCUCGAUGGAGACUGAUCAUCCCCCAGACUGAUCCCAAAAGACCCCUGCCCAAACAAUCUCAGCUGGUUUAGGUUUAGUUUGUUUUAUUAAGCGCAAGUAGAAAAUAUCUCAAGUAUUGUUUAUUCGAAUUUCGUAGAGUGAGCAAAUUAAUGGCCAUUAAUGUUCGUUCGUGUACGAUUAUCUAAUUAAGCUAGCUAGGAAAAAAGAUGCCGUCUUGCCGAAUGUUAGUAAUAAUUUGCAUACACACAAAUAACAUUAACAAUUAGAUUUAUAAAUUACACAUCUUAGCAUAUACUUAGGCUAAUCGCUUGCUACUGUAUAUCCGUUUAACGCCCAGUAGAAUCGGUAUGUUGAUUGAGACAAUAUAUUUUUAUAUUCAGCAUUUGUAAAUUGGCUUAUAGCGUAAACUAAUCAGAUUCGAAGACUCAAAUUUUUCAUGAUCAUUUGUACAAUUACUGCUUCUUGAUUACUGUGUAAAUAUGUAAUUCUUAAUCUUGAAAUUAAACUUAAGACUAUAUUUAAAUAGUCUUUUAUCCGUGGGAAUAUGA
This is a non-coding RNA of Drosophila suzukii, 753 nucleotides long. Lineage: Eukaryota; Metazoa; Arthropoda; Insecta; Diptera; Drosophilidae. The record is from RefSeq and is a predicted model, not a curated record.